RNAcentral lists this ribosomal RNA (76 nucleotides) under Vibrio harveyi. The record is from RNAcentral. Lineage: Bacteria; Pseudomonadati; Pseudomonadota; Gammaproteobacteria; Vibrionales; Vibrionaceae.
GAACGUUGUAGACACCUCUUUCGCCACGGCUUUCAAAUCGUUCGUGCCAUUAACAGUCACGGUAAUGCUGCCAUCU